GAUAGCGUGCCAACUUUUCUCUUCGUUCUCAUAGCUUUUGCAUUUUUUACUCACGAGGAUUAUGUUACAUCGACGAUUAAACACAUUGGUGCGUCGAUUUACUGUAAUGCGAUGCCUAGGAUAUGACAGAAUUAUAUAAAUCACGAAAAGUUCGAUUGUAUAUACAUUUCGUUAAGAAAGAUAUUCGGAGCAUGCAUAUCAAAACAACAUCUCCUUGAUAUAAAUUUGUACUCGAGCUCAUGCGCGAAACGUAACAGCAUCUUGUGAGAUAGAUCUUUUCUGAGAGCCAAGUAAGCGAACUUAAUAAUUCUCUGUUGACUAUGGUUAUUCUUUUUCUAUGUAUUCUAUGUACUAUUCGUCGGUAUUGGCAUUUUCUUUUUAAAA
Long non-coding RNA from Apis florea (little honeybee), 384 nucleotides. RefSeq lists it as uncharacterized. The record is from RefSeq and is a predicted model, not a curated record. Lineage: Eukaryota; Metazoa; Arthropoda; Insecta; Hymenoptera; Apidae.